This 274-nucleotide ribosomal RNA is filed under the name uncultured bacterium. RNAcentral describes it as "partial 16S ribosomal RNA". It matches the Rfam family "Bacterial small subunit ribosomal RNA", at positions 523 to 796 of the family's 1533-position model. The record is from RNAcentral.
AUACGGAGGGUGCAAGCGUUAUCCGGAAUCAUUGGGUUUAAAGGGUCCGCAGGCGGAUUAAUAAGUCAGUGGUGAAAUCCUCUCGCUCAACGAGAGAACUGCCAUUGAAACUGUUAGUCUUGAAUUCAGUCGAAGUAGGCGGAAUGUGUCAUGUAGCGGUGAAAUGCAUAGAUAUGACACAGAACACCGAUAGCGAAGGCAGCUUACUAGACCUGGAUUGACGCUCAUGGACGAAAGCGUGGGGAGCGAACAGGAUUAGAAACCCCAGUAGUCC